CAACUCAAAUUUUACUAUAAUUCUUAUCAGAUUAAAAAGAAUAAGGAAGUCCCUCAGAUAUUUUGAGCUAAAUGAAACUAUGACUUAGUUUUGCUAUAAAUAUGGCCUUUACCUUUCAACAUUCUCACACCAAUAAACAACAACCGAUCCAAAGAUGUUGCCAGAAGGUCCUAUUAGCCACAGCAAGAUAGAGUUUCUUGAGGAUGGUCAGUGUAAGGCAAUUUGAGAGCUGAAAGGUGAGACUCUGGUUUACACCGGCCUUGUUCGCACUACAAAUGAGGUCGAUGGCUUGCUUGUGAGCACGAAGGUGGAGUACCUUACUUUCGAGUUGGUGGGUCUACCAAUGGAGAGGAUUUGGAGAGCUUUACAUCCAGAUGUGAUCAAUGAAGCUUCUACCUCUCGAGUACCCAGGAAUGGUGAUUAACUCGUUUGUAUGAUGACUUAUUUUAAGAGUAUUAUUUUCAGUUGGACUGUGUGUAUUUUAUACUCUUGAAACUCUUCUCUCUUUGAGUAGCCAUGUUUGACUAAAGUCACUUUUGGAUAUCAUGAGAUCUUAACUUCUAUGGAUCACUGUAAAAUAUUUAACUAUGUUGAUCACAGUGUUUGUAAUAAGCCUACGAGUUUGACUACUAUGUGACAUGUAUUAAGUUGAUGCAUAUUAUGUAUUUUGAAGAUUAA
Long non-coding RNA from Medicago truncatula (barrel medic), 678 nucleotides. RefSeq lists it as uncharacterized. The record is from RefSeq and is a predicted model, not a curated record. NCBI's taxonomy places the organism in Eukaryota, Viridiplantae, Streptophyta, Magnoliopsida, Fabales, Fabaceae. The transcript is spliced from 2 exons.